Molecule: long non-coding RNA, 1490 nt
Organism: Choloepus didactylus (southern two-toed sloth)
Lineage: Eukaryota; Metazoa; Chordata; Mammalia; Pilosa; Megalonychidae
Exons: 3
Source: RefSeq, a predicted model, not a curated record
UUCAGAUGUCAGGCGCUCACCUUCAAGCCAAAAGCAGGACCCGGGAAACCUCACCUGCGAUGUGUGCUCAUGGAAAGUUCUCACCCACGUAGCCGAUUUAAAUCCUGUGGCUUUUGCCAGAGCAGAGUCUCAUCCCAACCCCUGGCUUCACCGCCACAGAGUUGUGCUUCCUGGAUCAGGUCGAUUCUUGGCAACUGGACCCAGGGAAGCACUACCGGGUCACCUUGUUCAUCUCCUGGAGACUGCUUUCACUGUGCCCUGAAAGUGGCUGCAUUCCUGGGGACACCAGCCGUGGGAGCCGGCACAUCUUCGCUGCCUGCACCUGUCGCUGCCGUGGAGGAUGUGAGGAGGGGCCGCGCAGACUGCAGGGAGUUCGGCCCAAAUCGCCAUCAUGACCGCCACAGAGUUUGGGCACAUCAGAGAAACCUUCGUGGACAACCAGGGAAGUCCCUUUAAGCCCUGGAAUAGUCUGGAUGAAAACAGUCAAAGCUUAUCAGGAAGCCUACAGAGCAUUCUCCAAGAGAAGGCUUCCUCCCUUCUGCUAGCACCCCAGCCCCCCCUUCUCCUCUCUCCUCUCCCUGGGCCUUUCCUUCUCCUCCUUUCUGAUAUCCGCUCCUUCCCUUCCAGCCUUUCUCUCAAAGUCCCUCUGCUUUUCUCACUUCCUUGUGUCCCUCCUUUCUCUUAUCCUCUAUCAUUUUCACUGUCCCUUAGACUUCAUCUCAUUUUCUUCCUUCCACCUCCACCCCUCUCCUGGGAAAUUUUUUCUCCUCCUAGAAUUAGUAAGACUGAAAGAUAGAUUUAAAUAUCUCUAGAAGAGACAGGAGACCUCUGUUGAAGAGGAGAGUAAGACACCUUUCUUCAAGAAUUGUAGAAGAUUGUGAGAAGAUGGUAAGCUAGGAAGCCCCAGGAAUUGGGUCUCUUUACAUAAACAACUAUGGAAAUGGUAAAGACUGUCUGAAUCAACUAUUCUGGAAUUCUUGAGUCCAGGGAAAUACUUGCUAUGUCCAGGGAAGAGCUGGAAGAAACCAGCUACCAUCCCCCCACUGCCUUCUCCCCCAGCCACGUGGCAAGCGGCUGUGGAGCCUGCAGCCCCAGCUCCUGGUGCAGCUUGUUGGUGCCAGGGUGGCCAAGGAGGACUUUGUCCUCCAAAAAUUCAGGGUUGUGUGUUUUGAUUACUGAUUGUUGAAGGGCUAACAAGGAAGGUAGACUUUUUUUUUUUUAAGCCCCACAAACUGAAGUGGAUUCCUGCCAUGGGGAGUUAAAGAGAUGGUACUUUUUUUUCUCUCCCUUUCCCCAUUUGGGAGCCAGACAUUCUACGGGAAUUUUUGUCAAGCCACUGGCUGAAUGCAGAGUGGGAAAUUCCUGCAUAAAUUCCCUUAUCAUGGUGAGGAAAUUCCCACUCCGCAUUCAGCCAGUGACCUGACAAAAAAUGAUAAGGGGAAUUUAUGAAAAAUUCACAACUAACAUCAUACUCGGUGAUGAAAGACUGA